UACAGAGGUCUCAAGCGUUGUCCGGAUUCAUUGGGCGUAAAGGGUGCGUAGGUGGCGCCGUAAGUCGGGUGUGAAAUUUCGGAGCUUAACUCCGAAACUGCAUUCGAUACUGCGGUGCUUGAGGACUGGAGAGGAGACUGGAAUUCAUGGUGUAGCAGUGAAAUGCGUAGAGAUCAUGAGGAAGACCAGUGGCGAAGGCGGGUCCCUGGACAGUUCCUGACACUGAGGCACGAAGGCCAGGGGAGCAAACGGG
Molecule: ribosomal RNA, 253 nt
Filed under: uncultured bacterium
Lineage: Bacteria
Description: partial 16S ribosomal RNA
Rfam family: Bacterial small subunit ribosomal RNA
Source: RNAcentral